CGAGGAAACACACUGGGCAAAACAGUGGAUGAAUUGUUUUUUCUAAAAUAACUCAAGUUGUGCACAUUUUUUAUACACGGUACUCGUCGAUAGAGCCAUGUCUGUCUGUCCGUCCGUCUUGUUGAACGCCUGGAUCUCAGAGACUAUAAAAGCUAGAGCCACAAAAUUUUGCAUCCAGACUUCUGUACGCUCAGUUACAAGUCUUCCGCGCCUCUGCCUCUGCCGGGACUCUGCAGUGUGCGGCUCUAGGGAGGGGGGCGAGCGAAAAUAGCGUGUUGGCGUGAGAAGUGUUGUAGAUGUAGAUGACAGAUGAAGAAAAUAUGUAAAAUUUGACAAAAAACCGCUAAGGUACAGAUGUAGUACUGAGUAGCGCGUAUACCGGCGUCUCACACGUCCCUUCUUGUUUUAAUUUGUAUCGCUUAAUAAUAUGUAUUGGUGGUAUUGCCAGUGGGGAAACACUGAGGGUAUAGUCUCCAUAAGUGCUACCUGUGCAUACAUAUGUAUGUGUGUACAUAUGCAUAUCGCCGUAUCAAUUCCCUACAUGUCAACUACAUACAUACAUACAUAUGUACGCGAAGUUAGGAUUUCUUUUCUGUGCCGCUGCGGCAGCCGAGCAGAAUGUGAGCCAAUAGUUUUUUAGGUUUCCUCGCUGUGCGUAACAAAAUUCGGGUUUGCCGGCGGCGUCGUUAUGCAGUGAAGAGCGAGUCGCCGCUUUGGCCAUUUUCGGUAAAAUAUACAUAUAUGUAUAUGUAUGUAUGUCGUACAUAAUGGUUUGCUCUCUAUGACAAGUCAUCACUUACUCUAAUGGUACAUUUCCAUUUUAACGACCUCAAUUUGUUGUAUGGAAAAUGAUCGCUUAUGCCAGAUGGGUGAAUGACGCCGACAUCGAUGUGUUGCCGCUUACACAUUGAUGUACUGCAGGGAACGGACAGGACACCUGAAAAUGGAUAUACGUACGUAUACGUAUACGUAUGUAACAUACAUACAUACAGGAUUCGAAUCUAUAAUUUAAAAAACUCAUAUGUACCAGUUUCUUUCCAAGACAAAGUCCCAGAUUUUACGGGUUAGACCAGAUGUCUGCAAAUCACAAAAGACAGAAACUCCGAACGUAAAUGUACAUAAGAAUGUAUUACAUCUUCCUCCCUGUGUACGCUUCCUCCCAAAUUUUUUAAGCUAUCCGGGAGUACGUUUGGAUAGACGUUUGUAUAUAUACAUAUACACAUACAUACAUACUUAGAUAGUGUGUAUA
Molecule: long non-coding RNA, 1249 nt
Filed under: Drosophila guanche
Lineage: Eukaryota; Metazoa; Arthropoda; Insecta; Diptera; Drosophilidae
Source: RNAcentral